GGGCGAUUAGCUCAGAGGCAGAGCAGGAGCCUUACACGCUCUGUGUCCGCGGUUCGAAUCCGCGAUCGCCCACCA
Molecule: transfer RNA, 75 nt
Filed under: Gemmatimonadota bacterium
Lineage: Bacteria; Pseudomonadati; Gemmatimonadota
Description: Gemmatimonadetes bacterium tRNA-Val
Rfam family: tRNA
About the family: Transfer RNA (tRNA) molecules are approximately 80 nucleotides in length.
Source: RNAcentral